This 253-nucleotide ribosomal RNA is filed under the name uncultured bacterium. Its description in RNAcentral is "partial 16S ribosomal RNA". It matches the Rfam family "Bacterial small subunit ribosomal RNA", at positions 524 to 776 of the family's 1533-position model. The record is from RNAcentral.
UACGUAGGGGGCAAGCGUUAUCCGGAUUUACUGGGUGUAAAGGGGGCGCAGACGGCGAUGCAAGCCAGGAGUGAAAGCCCGGGGCCCAACCCCGGGACUGCUCUUGGAACUGCGUGGCUGGAGUGCAGGAGGGGCAGGCGGAAUUCCUGGUGUAGCGGUGAAAUGCGUAGAUAUCAGGGGGAACACCGGUGGCGAAGGCGGCCUGCUGGACUGCAACUGACGUUGAGGCCCGAGAGCGUGGGGAGCAAACAGG